CCUACGGGUGGCUGCAGUGGGGAAUAUUGGACAAUGGGGGGAACCCUGAUCCAGCCAUGCCGCGUGUGUGAAGAAGGCCCUCGGGUUGUAAAGCACUUUCAGUGAGGAAGAACGCCUGGUGGUUAAUACCCAUCAGGAAAGACAUCACUCACAGAAGAAGCACCGGCUAACUCCGUGCCAGCAGCCGCGGUAAUACGGAGGGUGCGAGCGUUAAUCGGAAUUACUGGGCGCAAAGCGCGCGUAGGUGGCUUGAUAAGCCGGUUGUGAAAGCCCCGGGCUCAACCUGGGAAUGGCAUCCGGAACUGUCAAGCUAGAGUGCAGGAGAGGAAGGUAGAAUUCCCGGUGUAGCGGUGAAAUGCGUAGAGAUCGGGAGGAAUACCAGUGGCGAAGGCGGCCUUCUGGACUGACACUGACACUGAGGUGCGAAAGCGUGGGUAGCAAACAGGAUUAGAUACCCUGGUAGUC
This 465-nucleotide ribosomal RNA is filed under the name Vreelandella stevensii. RNAcentral describes it as "partial 16S ribosomal RNA". It matches the Rfam family "Bacterial small subunit ribosomal RNA", at positions 338 to 795 of the family's 1533-position model. Lineage: Bacteria; Pseudomonadati; Pseudomonadota; Gammaproteobacteria; Oceanospirillales; Halomonadaceae. The record is from RNAcentral.